Molecule: transfer RNA, 77 nt
Filed under: Vibrio cholerae
Lineage: Bacteria; Pseudomonadati; Pseudomonadota; Gammaproteobacteria; Vibrionales; Vibrionaceae
Description: tRNA-Val
Rfam family: tRNA
About the family: Transfer RNA (tRNA) molecules are approximately 80 nucleotides in length. Their secondary structure includes four short double-helical elements and three loops (D, anti-codon, and T loops).
Source: RNAcentral
GCGUCUAUAGCUCAGUUGGUUAGAGCACCACCUUGACAUGGUGGGGGUCGGUGGUUCGAGUCCACUUAGAUGCACCA